CUACGGGCUGCAGCAGUAGGGAAUUUUGCGCAAUGGGGGCAACCCUGACGCAGCAACGCCGCGUGAGUGAAGAAGGUCUUCGGAUUGUAAAGCUCUGUUUACGGGAAAGAAGAGUAUAAUCGCUAAUAUCGGUUAUAUUUGACGGUACUCGUGGAGAAAGCACCGGCUAACUCCGUGCCAGCAGCCGCGGUAAUACGGAGGGUGCAAGCGUUGUUCGGAAUUAUUGGGCGUAAAGGGCGCAGGCGGGGAUACAAGUCACAUGUGAAAUCCCACGGCUUAACCGUGGACGUGCUUGUGAAACUGUAUUUCUUGAGUGUUAGAUGGGAAAGCGGAAUUCCAAGUGUAGGAGUGAAAUCCGUAGAUAUUUGGAGGAACACCAGAGGCGAAGGCGGCUUUCUGGCUAAACACUGACGCUGAGGCGCGAGAGCGUGGGGAGCAAACAGGAUUAGAUACCCGCGUAGUC
RNAcentral lists this ribosomal RNA (463 nucleotides) under uncultured bacterium. Its description in RNAcentral is "partial 16S ribosomal RNA". It matches the Rfam family "Bacterial small subunit ribosomal RNA", at positions 339 to 795 of the family's 1533-position model. The record is from RNAcentral.